RNAcentral lists this ribosomal RNA (740 nucleotides) under uncultured bacterium. RNAcentral's name for it is "bacterial SSU rRNA". It matches the Rfam family "Bacterial small subunit ribosomal RNA", at positions 34 to 771 of the family's 1533-position model. The record is from RNAcentral.
CGCUGGCGGCAUGCCUUACACAUGCAAGUCGAACGGUAACAGGUCUUCGGACGCUGACGAGUGGCGAACGGGUGAGUAAUACAUCGGAACGUGCCCAGUCGUGGGGGAUAACUACUCGAAAGAGUAGCUAAUACCGCAUACGAUCUGAGGAUGAAAGCGGGGGACCUUCGGGCCUCGCGCGAUUGGAGCGGCCGAUGGCAGAUUAGGUAGUUGGUGGGAUAGAAGCUUACCAAGCCGACGAUCUGUAGCUGGUCUGAGAGGACGACCAGCCACACUGGGACUGAGACACGGCCCCGACUCCUACGGGAGGCAGCAGUGGGGAAUUUUGGACAAUGGGCGAAAGCCUGGUCCAGCAAUGCCGCGUGCAGGAUGAAGGCCUUCGGGUUGUAAACUGCUUUUGUACGGAACGAAAAAGCUUCUCCUAAUACGAGAGGCCCAUGACGGUACCGUAAGAAUAAGCACCGGCUAACUACGUGCCAGCAGCCGCGGUAAUACGUAGGGUGCGAGCGUUAAUCGGAAUUACUGGGCGUAAAGCGUGCGCAGGCGGUUAUGUAAGACAGAUGUGAAAUCCCCGGGCUCAACCUGGGAACUGCAUUUGUGACUGCAUGGCUAGAGUACGGUAGAGGGGGAUGGAAUUCCGCGUGUAGCAGUGAAAUGCGUAGAUAUGCGGAGGAACACCAAUGGCGAAGGCAAUCCCCUGGACCUGUACUGACGCUCAUGCACGAAAGCGUGGGGAGCAA